RNA transcript from Python bivittatus (Burmese python), 843 nucleotides. It is a transcript of the gene named NADH:ubiquinone oxidoreductase subunit B4, with no coding region annotated. The record is from RefSeq and is a predicted model, not a curated record. NCBI's taxonomy places the organism in Eukaryota, Metazoa, Chordata, Lepidosauria, Squamata, Pythonidae.
GCGCAUGCGUGGAUGAGCAGGCUGAGCCUGUGUUUUGCCCUCGGCCAUGGUCGUGUCCUCUGUCUCCCGCUCCGCGUCCCAAUACCGCCCGGCGCCUCUGGCGAGGUUGCCGCCCCAGCUGGACCCCAAUGAAUACCGCUGGAGCCUCGAGAAACGCCGCGCGGAAGCCGAGCGGCUCGCCCUCCGCGCCCGCCUCAAGCGCGAGUACAUGCUGCGGCUUAAUGACCCUCGACGGACGGAGCUCAUCGAAGACCCCGCUGUAAUUCGUUGGGAUUAUGCCAGGAGGCACAAUGUCUAUCCUAGUUUCCGCUUUACCCCUAAAAGUUCCCUACUGAGUCUCCUCUGGGGAGCAGGACCCUUUGUUUUCUGGUGGUAUGUCUUGACGACCAGUAGGGGUUAUAAAGAAAAGCUCAAAAAUGAAGGCAGAUAUGAGGAAACAUUCCGUACCGCCUAUUAAGUCUUUGACAACUAUGUGUGACAAUCUUGCUGAAGAGACUUUAUUACCUCUCUGAUAGCAGAGAAACUGUCACCUUGGGAGUGGAACAUUUCUAUUUUCCUUAAAAGCACUGUUUGCCAAUUGUUCUCCUCAUCCAUUGGUAACUGACCAGCAGAAGCAAACUGGAAAACCAGGAACUUAUUGCACUGACUCCCAUGCUUCCACAACUUCUGCCUAAAUAAUCAUAGAUAGGAUCUUAAGCAGUAUGUGGAAAGCUCUUGCACGAUAAUCCUGCCUUGUUAGGAGAUGCAGAAUUACCAUUUAGUUCCAUUUGUAUUUUCUGAUCUUUAAAGACAUUAAUUUUAAUAAUUGUAAUAUAAUUUAUUAAAUUGUAUGCCACCCAACUA